This is a long non-coding RNA of Mauremys mutica (yellowpond turtle), 1175 nucleotides long. RefSeq lists it as uncharacterized. The transcript has 9 exons. The record is from RefSeq and is a predicted model, not a curated record. Lineage: Eukaryota; Metazoa; Chordata; Testudines; Geoemydidae.
GAAAUAGAGGUGAUGUCACAGAAUGUUGACUUUACAACAAGAUCCGGUUUGAAGGGAAAGCUGGGAGAAGGAGGAACAAACUGAGUUUAAAAGUGCUUUCAGACGGCUCUCACACCUUCCAGCUGAUGUUCUCAAAGAGCUUGGCCACUCACAAAGGAAAGAUUCUUGGAUGACAGAUGCUCAGGGCAUGGGAGGUUACAGGAUGAUGUGAAAAAAUUGGAGAGAGUCUAGAGGACAGCAACAAAAAUGCCCUGCUGUGUUCUGCACCAGAAAUGGCCACAUUUUAAUCGUGAGAGAAGCAAUUCUUCUCAAGAGAAGACUUGAUCCUGCAGCCCUUCAUCAGUGGAGCUGCCCUCACAUGCCAAGUUCUACUGAAUUUAAUAGAACCAUUGCCAUAAGGAAUAUCCACGUACUCUGCAAGGAAGAACCCACAAUGGGAAGGAAACAAUGCGUCUCCCACACCACUGCUAGCUUUUCCUCUGCCUGCACCUGUGGGAGCCCUCACCAGACAAGCAUCCUGACCCUGGAGGCUCUAGGCAGGUCCUGGGCUUCACUUGCUAGGAAUGUGGCCUGCAUGUCUCUGCUGAAGAAAGCCAGGGAGGAGGAACCACCCAAUGUGAGAGGUGUCUGUUGAUGAUGUCCUUCGGGAAGCAGUGUAAGUCUGUAGCCACAAGCAAGCAUUAAUAAAUAACUAAGGACCACAGCAAGACGUUAGUUUUACUUGCAUUGGAGCAGUGUCUAGAAGCCUAAAUUAGAAGUCCAGGAUUUUACCUGGAGGAAGUUGUGCAAGUCAAGCAAAAUAGUAGAUUUAUUUAUGGGCUUAUGAAGAGUUUUCCAGUGGUAGUCUGACUGAGACUGGAGACCCAACUGCAGUGAAAUGCAGGUGAUUCAGAUUUCCAGUUUAAGAUCUUUCUUUUUCAGCCUCAUUAACGAUGCCCUCUGAAAAUGGAGUCAUUCAAACUACAUGGCUAUUUCAGUAUCCCAGUGCUUCAGGAGUAGAGCAGCCACUUCAUUCAGCACAUCUAAAGCUGAUCUAAACCAUCAACUUGUCAUGGCUUCUGGAACAAUUUCAUUGCCCUAUUGUUGUCCUUUUGUCUAACUUAAGUCAAGUGGAAAAAAAAAUAAAACCAACAUCAUCCCUUUCAAAAUCACUGCAGCAAUAAAACAAUGUUAGU